RNAcentral lists this ribosomal RNA (492 nucleotides) under uncultured bacterium. RNAcentral's name for it is "partial 16S ribosomal RNA". It matches the Rfam family "Bacterial small subunit ribosomal RNA", at positions 29 to 507 of the family's 1533-position model. The record is from RNAcentral.
AGUGAGCGCUGGCGGUAGGCCUAACACAUGCAAGUCGAACGGCAGCACAGUAAGAGCUUGCUCUUACGGGUGGCGGGUGGCGGACGGGUGAGGAAUACAUCGGAAUCUACUUUUUCGUGGGGGAUAACGUAGGGAAACUUACGCUAAUACCGCAUACGACCUACGGGUGAAAGCAGGGGAUCUUCGGACCUUGCGCGAUUGAAUGAGCCGAUGUCGGAUUAGCUAGGUGGCGGGGUAAAGGCCCACCAAGGCGACGCUCCGUAGCUGGUCUGAGAGGAUGAUCAGCCACACGGGAACUGAGACACGGUCCAGACUCCUACGGGAGGCAGCAGUGGGGAAUAUUGGACAAUGGGCGCAAGCCUGAUCCAGCCAUACCGCGUGGGUGAAGAAGGCCUUCGGGUUGUAAAGCGCUUUUGUUGGGAAAGAAAAGCAGCAGGUUAAUACCCCGCUGUUCUGACGGUACCCAAAGAAUAAGCACCGGCUAACUUCGUG